Molecule: non-coding RNA, 138 nt
Filed under: Pseudarthrobacter chlorophenolicus
Lineage: Bacteria; Bacillati; Actinomycetota; Actinomycetes; Micrococcales; Micrococcaceae
Description: Arthrobacter chlorophenolicus TPP sequence
Rfam family: TPP riboswitch aptamer (THI element)
About the family: Vitamin B(1) in its active form thiamin pyrophosphate (TPP) is an essential coenzyme that is synthesised by coupling of pyrimidine and thiazole moieties in bacteria.
Source: RNAcentral
CAUUAACGACAGGGGAGCGCCGCCGUCGGCCCCGGCACCAGCCGGGAAACGCAGGUGGGCGCUGAGAGUGCGGACAGCCGCAGACCCUCGAACCUGAUCCGGUUAGUACCGGCGCAAGGGAGUCGAGUUCUCGAAGUG